CCGGGACGGGUAGGUAACGUAAACCCAACCUGCCGUCUACUCUUGGACAGCCUUCUGAAAGGAAGAUUAAUACAAGAUGGCAUCAUGAGUCCACAUGUUCACAUGAUUAAAGGUAUUCCGGUAGACGAUGGGGAUGCGUUCCAUUAGAUAGUAGGCGGGGUAACGGCCCACCUAGUCUUCGAUGGAUAGGGGUUCUGAGAGGAAGGUCCCCCACAUUGGAACUGAGACACGGUCCAA
This 237-nucleotide ribosomal RNA is filed under the name uncultured bacterium. RNAcentral describes it as "partial 16S ribosomal RNA". It matches the Rfam family "Bacterial small subunit ribosomal RNA", at positions 100 to 334 of the family's 1533-position model. The record is from RNAcentral.